Molecule: ribosomal RNA, 307 nt
Filed under: uncultured Planctomycetota bacterium
Lineage: Bacteria; Pseudomonadati; Planctomycetota
Description: bacterial SSU rRNA
Rfam family: Bacterial small subunit ribosomal RNA
Source: RNAcentral
AAUGAACGUUGGCGGCGUGGAUUAGGCAUGCAAGUCGUGCGGAAAGGCCCCGCAAGGGGUACUCGAGCGGCGAAAGGGAUAGUAACACGUAGGUACCCACCUCUGGGACGGGGAUAGCCGGGGGAAACUCCGAUUAAUACCCGAUAACGUCCUAGGACCAAAGGUGUGAUUCCGCCCGGAGACGGGCCUGCGUCCUAUCAGCUUGUUGGUGAGGUGACGGCUCACCAAGGCAACGACGGGUAGCGGGUGUGAGAGCACGACCCGCAUCACUGGGACUGAGAUACUGCCCAGACACCUACGGAGGCUG